GUACUUACGUAGGCAGCACAUAUUCUAAAGUUGGAGCAAUACAGAGAUUAGCAUGGCCCCCACAUAAGGAUGACACACAAGUUCUUGAAGCAUUCUAUAUUUUU
RNAcentral lists this small nuclear RNA (104 nucleotides) under Chinchilla lanigera (long-tailed chinchilla). The record is from RNAcentral. Lineage: Eukaryota; Metazoa; Chordata; Mammalia; Rodentia; Chinchillidae.